AAAAAAUUAAAAAUGGUUGGACCAAAUAGACCACAAAUUGUUCUAUUUGGAUCCUCAAUAGUGCAAUUUAGCUAUAGCCAUGAAGGUUGGGGUUCAAUCCUCACUGAUCUAUACUCAUGCAAGGCAGAUAUAGUGCUUCGUGGAUAUGGUGGUUGGAACACUAGGCUGGCUCUACUGGUUUUGGACCAAAUAUUUCCGAAGGAUGCAACAAUACAACCAUCACUUGUUAUCGUAUACUUUGGUGGAAAUGACUCGAUGAAACCUGAUCCAAAUGGUCUAAAUGCUCAUGUUCCUCUUCUUGAAUAUAUACAAAACAUGAAGAACAUUGUACUUCAUAUCAAGAGCCUAUCGGAAAAGACUCGAAUAAUAGUUCUUAGUACUCCGCCAGUGAACGAGGAAAAAAUCAUCAAGUUGUUCGGAAUUUCUCGACGUUCAAAUGAGAGCUCACAUAUAUAUUCAGAAGCUUGUAUAAAAAUGUGCAAAGAGUUGGGGAUCAAGGUGAUUGAUCUUUGGACUGCACUUCAAAAUCGAAAUGAUUGGUUAUCUGCUCAUUUCACGGAUGGUAUUCAUUUAACAGCAGAAGCAAGCAAAGUUGUGGUUAAGGAAAUCUUAAAGGUUGUGAAAGAAGCAGAUUGGGAGCCAAAUUUACAUUGGAAAUCAUUGCCAAAUGAAUUUGCACAAUGUUCACCUACUAUCUUUGUUGGGACUGAUGGUAACACUCCUCUUAAUGUUGCUGAUUUGGACUUGGACUGGCAAGCCCAAUGGAUCUGACAGUAUGAAUGUUCUGUCAUGUUCGUCGGCGGCCAAGAUAGGAAUUUCUCUAAUAAUUUUUUGACCUGUCUCUGUAUUUUGUAUAAUCACCUCUAACACUUUCUCUUUACAUGUCUAAACUAUCUUAAUCUCGUUUUCCUCAUUUUGUCCAUCAUUCAAGGGGCCAGUCCCACCUUAGUAG
This 952-nucleotide unclassified non-coding RNA is filed under the name Hevea brasiliensis (rubber tree). Lineage: Eukaryota; Viridiplantae; Streptophyta; Magnoliopsida; Malpighiales; Euphorbiaceae. The record is from RNAcentral.